AUCCGCCAUCUUGCUAUUCGCUGUCACCUUUUGGUGGUCGCCGGUUGGUCGACGAGGCUGGGCUGUAAAAUUAAUGGCAGGACGCGCUUCACUUUGAACGAAUGCACACAUUCUGUUUUUGAAUCUCGCUUGAGCGAACAUUUCUUGCCAGCAACCACAUUCUACAGAAAGAUUUUAGUUGCUUCAAUCGAGCUACUUCUAGACGAGAGAAAAAAAUGCAUAAAGAAGCGAGUUGAGGAAGUAAAGUGCCACAGCAAGCAGGGCUGUGAUGCCGCCAGACACGGCCUCCACGACACGCGAUACUCGAACUUUAUCGCCGAGAGCGAGGCGCUGGCGACGGUAAUUACAGGCUGCUGACACUGCUGACAUCACUCAUCGGACUGUUUAAGGCCUGGAGCACUUCAUCGUCUGACGACCGUUACCAUAGUUACGCUUGGACGGACAAACGCGAACCGUUUGGUAAGUGGUUCAACCGGACCGGAUCCAUUGCACAAACAGGUUUCCGAACCGCACUACUUUAACUCACGGCGCGUGCAUUACAGAAAUAAAAAAAGGAAAAAAUCCA
Pomacea canaliculata is the source of this 565-nucleotide long non-coding RNA. RefSeq lists it as uncharacterized. The record is from RefSeq and is a predicted model, not a curated record. The transcript is spliced from 4 exons. NCBI's taxonomy places the organism in Eukaryota, Metazoa, Mollusca, Gastropoda, Architaenioglossa, Ampullariidae.